GUUUUCGUUGCUAGGGGCUGUGGGUCACCUUCUCUUCCUCUCUUCUGCCACCCCAAGUCGUCUGUGUUGCGUGUCAUGCAGUGGGAGAGCACGUUGGUCCGGACCUCAAGCUACCCACGUUCUAGUCCCGCCUCUGUCAUUUCCUAGAGCUGUGGCCUCGGAUCCCUCCCUGGUGCCACAGCAGCUGAGUGCGCAUCAAAUCUGAAGAAAAUCUACACAGUACAGACAGUACAGUCCACAGUUUGGAAAGAGUUGCUGUUAGCAACCAUCGGGGAACAGUUCACAGACUGUGCCGCAGCAGAUGAUGAAGUAAUAGGAGUUAGCGUCAGUGUUCGGGACCGAGAAGACGUCAUCCAAGUCUGGAAUGUAAAUGCCUCUUUAGUGGGUGAAGCGACUGUUUUAGAAAAGAUCUAUGAACUUCUGCCCCACAUAACUUUUAAAGCAGUAUUUUAUAAACCCCAUGAAGAGCAUCAUGCUUUUGAAGGUGGACGUGGAAAACACUAAUUGCACUCUGUAAAGAAUUCUUUGUCCUUUGCUGAUUGGUUUUGGAAACGGUCUUAACAGGA
RNAcentral lists this small RNA (566 nucleotides) under Pongo abelii (Sumatran orangutan). RNAcentral's name for it is "processed transcript". Lineage: Eukaryota; Metazoa; Chordata; Mammalia; Primates; Hominidae. The record is from RNAcentral.